CCCCCGCCCAUCGCCAUGUACACCUUCGUGGUGCGGGACGAGGGCAGCAGCGUGUACGCCGAGGUGAGCCGGCUGCUGCUGGCCAGCGGGCAGUGGCGGCGCCUCCGCAGGGACAACCCCCGCUUCAACCUGAUGCUGGGCGAGAGGAACCGGCUCCCCUUCGGCAGGCUGGGCCAUGAACCUGGACUUGUGCAGCUGGUGAAUUACUACAGGGGAGCAGACAAGCUGUGCCGCAAAGCAUCUCUGGUGAAGCUAAUCAAGACAAGCCCUGAGCUAUCAGAGUCCUGCACAUGGUUCCCUGAGUCGUAUGUGAUUUACCCAACAAACUUGAAGACCCCCGUGGCUCCAGCACAGAAUGGAAUUCACCAUCUCAUAAACAACACAAGAACAGAUGAGCGGGAAGUCUUCUUGGCAGCUUACAACAGACGGCAGGAAGGCAAAGAAGGCAACGUGUGGAUUGCCAAGUCCUCAGCUGGUGCCAAAGGAGAAGGGAUCCUGAUUUCUUCAGAGGCUACAGAGCUUCUGGACUUCAUCGACGAGCAGGGACAAGUGCACGUGAUUCAGAAAUACCUGGAGAAUCCUCUACUUUUAGAGCCAGGGCAUCGCAAGUUUGACAUCAGGAGCUGGGUUCUCGUGGAUCAUCAGUAUAAUAUCUACCUCUACAGAGAGGGUGUCCUGCGGACCUCUUCCGAACCAUAUAACAGUGCUAAUUUCCAGGACAAAACCUGCCACUUGACCAAUCACUGCAUUCAGAAGGAAUAUUCCAAAAACUAUGGGCGGUAUGAGGAAGGGAAUGAAAUGUUCUUUGAGGAGUUCAACCAGUAUCUGAUGGAUGCCCUGAACACAACGCUUGAGAAUGGCAUCUUACUGCAAAUCAAACACAUAAUAAGAAGCUGCCUUAUGUGUAUAGAGCCUGCAAUCAGCACGAAGCAUCUUCACUACCAGAGCUUCCAGCUCUUUGGCUUUGACUUCAUGGUGGAUGAGGAGCUGAAGGUCUGGCUAAUAGAAGUCAAUGGGGCCCCAGCGUGUGCUCAGAAGCUGUAUGCAGAGCUCUGCCAAGGAAUUGUGGAUGUAGCCAUUUCUAGUGUUUUCCCCCUCAAUGACACUGGGCAGAAGAUAAGCCAGUCAUCAUCGAUCUUCAUCAAGCUGUGAUGACGUCAGGACUGCCACUGCUGUGAACAGGGAAAGACUGCAUCCCUGGGGAUGGACAUUCAUUGCAACACACUCUGAAUCUACAAGUGGCACUGUUUGAUGCAGGGCCACUCAAAUCCAGGAGGGAACAGAGUGCUUAGCAAAACCCCGUGGAAGCAUCGCAGAGAGGGCACAUCCCGAAGAACCACACAAACACCUCUGAAGUUGUCAGCGCCCUGAAGCCAGCAUGGAUCUGCAUCUACGGAGUGCGUGCUGGAUGCAGAGUGCAGUGGUGCAUGCAGAGAAGUGACAGGGAGCAGGACCUGUGUGAAAAGGGGGCUGCAGCUUGGUUGCCCUGCACUGCAAGUACUGGCAGGUGGCUUCACUUCUAGCGAGAUGCUGAAUGCCAGGUCUGGUCUCUGGAUUUGGGCCUCAUGGGUGUUCAGAAGAUGGACCAUGAAUGCACUGCUCCAUGAGAUGGGAAGUGCUGGGUGAUAAAGUGGGGAGAGGGGUGUGGGGGAAGGAGUGGUUGGGUUUUUAGCACAUGGGUGUAAAAAUUUCACUGCAGUCCAGGUAAAAUGUAGCGAUAACGUCCCAAGGUAAAAUGUGGGCUGUUAAGGGUUGUUAAUCAACUUGCAAAGUUCACCAUAUCUCCAUUGACAUUUUCGUGUUAGCUUAUGUGAAUUUAAGAAUAAUACCAUCUUGCCCAGCAAAGAGAUCUCACAGCAAUUGCUCUCAUCCAGGAUGUGCCUGAGGUGACAGCUGGGCUCUCACAAGCUCUAGGGCAGAUGAGCAGAGUGUGAAGUUAGACCAGAAAAUUUUCCCCAACACAAUGAACUAGAAAUACUUGUUUUCUGGGGUGCUAGACCCAUCCUUCUUUUCCCCUAAAAAGGAAGGGGAGGUUAAAUUAUGAUGAUGAAUCACUCCCUUACUGCACAGUAACAUGAGGUUCCUGGCUAUGUAGCAGGAUAAGAGAGAGAGCUGCCUGGAUACAGGCAAAAGCAGUGGCCCCCACUGGAGCAGCUGGUACCACCAGCAGGAGAAAUGACUGGAGAUCUUCUGCCUAAUUCCAAGGCCUUUCCUUCCCCCUUUUUCAUCCCAGAUUGGUUGUGGCAGAUUAACAGCUGGCCAUUUUUGCUGUUCAUCUGAAAGUGGGGCUUCGGCUUGGCAGUAGAGUCAUGACUACAGGCAGUGCAGUUAUUCGUACCCUGCCUUUUAAGCUGGGCAUGGGGGAGGUAGUGUUUCAGGAAACUUGAAUCCUCCAUUUGCUGAAUUUUUCAGGAAUAAGCAACAGCCUCUGGAGGAAAAUGUGUGUAUUUUCCACCUUCUCUCAGUGCUCCCCAAAGUAAAGCACAGAACGUAAAUUAUAAAGGACAGAGAGCACAGUGCCUAAGGUUUUGCCCAAAAUACUAGCUACGAGGUGGAGUAGAGGAUGUGUGUGUGGCUGAGGCCUGAGCAUUGCAGCCAUGGGUGCACCUUGCAAGUGAUACUCACAAGCCCCUGUGAGACUUUUGUUUGUUUCUUUUUUAGGAAUAUACAACAAUAAAUGUUUUCUAGCUUAUUUCAGCUAAAAGGUCAAUAGAAAAGGUCUUACUCUCUUUCCUGAGCUUUCACCCAGGAUGGUGCUGGGUUUCUAGAAGACAUCUACCAUAUUGCAGAAUGUCUCUAGUCCUAGAUGUAUCCCUUCAUGUCAUCCAUGAAGGAUUUCUGUCCCAGGUGUUCUGGCUGCGUCUUCCAGCAGGGUCUGGUCCCGCUGGACUCUGGGUUUCAGAUAACUCCGAUGUGGCUUGUUGCAUAUACAUUAGUCAUUGUUACCAUGCAACAGGUAUUGUGUUUCUGCUAAAAUCUGAUGGCUGGCCACAGUCCACAGAGAAUGCUGGACAAGUCUAAGAAAGGCUCAAAAGCUGCUUUCGUCUAGGUGGCUGUGGCCAGUGCCCUUCAGGACUGCUUGCAUGUACCUGCUCCCAGCAUUUGUUGUUCUCCACAUGCAGCUCUCCUUCAGGAGAGCAAUGCUGUACCAUGUGUAGGUUCAUAAACAUAUUCCAUUGACAGUGUCUGCUGUGGCAGCCCUGGGGAAACCCUGGUGUUGAGAGGAUGGUGGGGUACAUGGGGCGCUGCCAAGCUGGCCGCCUGCCAGGCUCUGGAUCGUGUCCCCAGCUGCUCUCACGUCAGCAUGUGCGUGUGAGGCUGGCAAGUGCCUGAGUUCGUGGAUCUCCGGUGACU
RNA transcript from Lepidothrix coronata (blue-crowned manakin), 3354 nucleotides. It is a transcript of the gene named tubulin tyrosine ligase, with no coding region annotated. The transcript is spliced from 8 exons. The record is from RefSeq and is a predicted model, not a curated record. NCBI's taxonomy places the organism in Eukaryota, Metazoa, Chordata, Aves, Passeriformes, Pipridae.